Frankia sp. is the source of this 67-nucleotide non-coding RNA. The record is from Rfam. NCBI's taxonomy places the organism in Bacteria, Bacillati, Actinomycetota, Actinomycetes, Frankiales, Frankiaceae.
GAAUCGGGAACCCGGCACCGCGCAAGCGGGUCAGACCGGGAGCGCCGUCCCACCGCGGACGGCUGCG